GUGCCUAACACAUGCAAGUCGAGCGAAUGAAGUUCCUUCGGGAACGGAUUUAGCGGCGGACGGGUGAGUAACACGUGGGCAACCUGCCUCAUAGAGGGGAAUAGCCUUCCGAAAGGAAGAUUAAUACCGCAUAGGAUUGUAGUACCGCAUGGUACAGCAAUUAAAGGAGCAAUCCGCUAUGAGAUGGGCCCGCGGCGCAUUAGCUAGUUGGUGAGGUAACGGCUCACCAAGGCGACGAUGCGUAGCCGACCUGAGAGGGUGAUCGGCCACAUUGGGACUGAGACACGGCCCAUACUCCUACGGGAGGCAGCAGUGGGGAAUACUGCAGAAUGGGGGGAAACCCUGAUGCAGCAACGCCGCGUGAGUGAUGACGGCCUUCGGGUUGUAAAGCUCUGUCUUCAGGGACGAUAAUGACGGUACCUGAGGAGGAAGCUCCGGCUAACUACGUGCCAGCAGCCGCGGUAAUACGUAGGGAGCGAGCGUUGUCCGGAAUUACUGGGUGUAAAGGGAGCGUAGGCGGGAAGGCAAGUUGAAUGUCAAAUCUACCGGCUUAACCGGUAGCCGCGUUCAAAACUGUUUUUCUUGAGUGAAGUAGAGGCAGGCGGAAUUCCUAGUGUAGCGGUGAAAUGCGUAGAUAUUAGGAGGAACACCAGUGGCGAAGGCGGCCUGCUGGGCUUUUACUGACGCUGAGGCUCGAAAGCGUGGGGAGCAAACAGGAUUAGAUACCCUGGUAGUCCACGCCGUAAACGAAGAAAUACUAGGGGUGGGGGGAACUGACCCCUUCCCGUGCCGCAGUUAACACAAUAAGUAUUCCCCCGGGGGAGUACGGCCGCAAGGCUAAAACUCAAAGGAAUUGACGGGGGCCCGCACAAGCGGAGGAACAUGUGGUUUAAUUCGAUGAUACGCGAGGAACCUUACCCGGGCUUGAAAUGCAUCUGACCGAAGUGGAAACACUUUUUCUAGCAAUAGCAGAUGUGUAGGUGCUGCAUGGUUGUCGUCAGCUCGUGCCGUGAGGUGUCGGCUUAAGUGCCAUAACGAGCGCAACCCUUGCCGUUAGUUGCCAUCAGGUUAUGCUGGGAACUCUAGCGGGACUGCCACCGUAAGGUGUGAGGAAGGUGGGGAUGACGUCAAAUCAGCACGGCCCUUAUGUCCGGGGCGACACACGUGUUACAAUGGGCGGUACAGAGGGAAGCUACCCGGUGACGGGAUGCUAAUCUUUAAAACCGUUCUCAGUUCGGAUCGGAGUCUGUAACUCGACUCUGUGAAGCUGGAUUCGCUAGUAAUCGCGCAUCAGCCAUGGCGCGGUGAAUACGUUCCCGGGC
This 1322-nucleotide ribosomal RNA is filed under the name uncultured bacterium. RNAcentral's name for it is "partial 16S ribosomal RNA". It matches the Rfam family "Bacterial small subunit ribosomal RNA", at positions 44 to 1379 of the family's 1533-position model. The record is from RNAcentral.